AUACCUACGGGGCGCAGCAGUGGGGAAUAUUGGGCAAUGGGCGCAAGCCUGACCCAGCAACGCCGCGUGAAGGAAGAAGGCUUUCAGGUUGUAAACUUCUUUUCUGAGGGACGAAGAAAGUGACGGUACCUCAGGAAUAAGCCACGGCUAACUACGUGCCAGCAGCCGCGGUAAUACGUAGGUGGCAAGCGUUAUCCGGAUUUAUUGGGUGUAAAGGGCGUGUAGGCGGGAAUGCAAGUCAGAUGUGAAAACUAUG
This 256-nucleotide ribosomal RNA is filed under the name uncultured bacterium. RNAcentral's name for it is "partial 16S ribosomal RNA". It matches the Rfam family "Bacterial small subunit ribosomal RNA", at positions 335 to 605 of the family's 1533-position model. The record is from RNAcentral.